CCUACGGGGUGCACCAGUGGGGAAUUGUUCGCAAUGGGCGCAAGCCUGACGACGCAACGCCACGUGGGGGAUGAAGGUCUUCGGAUUGUAAACCCCUGUUGGGUGGGACGAGCACUGUCGUGGUGAACAGCCAUGGCAACUGACGGUACCACCCGAGGAAGCCCCGGCUAACUCUGUGCCAGCAGCCGCGGUAAUACAGAGGGGGCAAGCGUUGUUCGGAAUUACUGGGCGUAAAGGGCGCGUAGGCGGCCUGUUAAGUCGGACGUGAAAUCCCUCGGCUCUACCGGGGAACUGCGUCUGAUACUGGCGGGCUUGAGUUCGGGAGAGGGAUGUGGAAUUCCAGGUGUGGCGGUGAAAUGCGUAGAUAUCUGGAGGAACACCGGUGGCGAAGGCGGCAUCCUGGACCGACACUGACGCUGAGGCGCGAAAGCCAGGGGAGCACACGGGAUUAGAUACCCCUGUAGUC
This 466-nucleotide ribosomal RNA is filed under the name uncultured bacterium. RNAcentral describes it as "bacterial SSU rRNA". It matches the Rfam family "Bacterial small subunit ribosomal RNA", at positions 338 to 795 of the family's 1533-position model. The record is from RNAcentral.